This 28-nucleotide non-coding RNA is filed under the name Bombyx mori (domestic silkworm). The record is from RNAcentral. Lineage: Eukaryota; Metazoa; Arthropoda; Insecta; Lepidoptera; Bombycidae.
UACAAUAUCGACAGAACAGGGGAUAAGU